ACUCACUUUCUCAGUUCUGUUUCGCUUCUUCUUGUGUUGUGUUGGUCAAGUGUGUUGUGCAAUGGAUAAUCAAAAGAAGGGCAAAGGAGGAGACCAACCCAAGAAGUUAGCGAAGGUAUUGAAUACGAGCUCUCUCCAAAUAAAUGAAAAAGAUGCUUUUCAGUUGGUUGGUUCCAUCGUCGAAAAGGGUAUCUCUGAUUCACACAACAACCCCACAACAACACCACCCUUCCAUUUUUUCCCCAAACCCACUGUUCUUCCUUUCCCCGUUGCGCGCCAUCGUUCACAUGGCCCUCAUUGGCGUCCACUGAGUAGUAGAGGGGAUGAUGAUGGUGAGGAUGAUGAUAGUGACAAUAAUGUUAAGGAUGAAGAAGAUAAAAAUUUGCAGGAGUUUGAAAAAGUUUCAGCCUUUGCCAAGCCGGUACAGAGGAGGAGGAAAAAGGGUUUGGAUUUUAGAAAAUGGAAAGAGAUCACUCGGGAUGAUAGUUCUUCCUUCGGGAAGGAAUCAGAGAAGGAUGUGUCAAGCUUUAGCCAAACUACUGGGAAAAAGAAGAAUGAAAAGGGCAGUAAGAGCACAUACAAGAAAACCUCAUCUUUGGAUGAUAAUGUCAUUUCUCCAAUGAAAGUGGAUACAAAACCACUGUUAGAUAACUCAGAUGGUGGGUUUAUCAAUUCAACUACCACUAUGGAAGUAGAUACAUUAAAUAAGGUAGAUCAUGAGGAAAAAGUUAAACACGCCAGAAUUUAUGAUGACAAGGAGCAAAAUGAAUCUGUGCCUGGAUUGGACCAAAUUUCUUCUGAUUGGAUGCCUGAUUACAAUUUUGGAUCCCUGGAUGUGCAAAGGCCAGGGCAAACUGACUUGAAUUCAAGCAUGCUGUCUUGUUCUAGUUCCAAUAGUAUUAGAAGUGAACAAAAGUCCGUGUCUCUUGAUAGUGAAAUUGAUGCUGAGAAUCGAGCUCGGAUUCAGCAAAUGUCAGCUGAGGAGAUUGCAGAAGCCCAGACUGAGAUAAUGGAGAAGAUGAGCCCUGCAUUACUAAAAUUACUGCAGAAGAGGGGGCAGAAUAAAUUGAAGAAACUAAAAUUAGAAGUGGAUAUUGGCUCAGAAUCUGUGAAUGGACAUGCUCAGAGUCCUCAGGAUGCAAAACAUCUACACACAGAGGAUGGGAUCGCUCAAACAGUGAUUGUGCCACCAUCCAAAGAAAAGCUAGAUGAUGAGAAAAUUAGCACGAAGACUUCAACCACCGCUAGUAGUAGUGCAUGGAAUGCUUGGAGCAAUAGAGUUGAGGCUGUUAGGGAGCUACGAUUUUCCUUGGUUGGGGAUGUUGUUGAUUCUGAACGUGUAUCAGUUUAUGACAAUGCCAAUGAACGUGACUAUCUACGGACUGAGGGAGAUCCUGGUGCUGCCGGUUAUACAAUUAAAGAAGCAGUGGCACUCACUAGAAGUGUGAUUCCUGGACAAAGGACCCUUGCAUUGCAUCUCCUUUCAUCUGUGCUUGAUAAGGCAUUACACUAUAUUUGCGAAGACAGAACAGGGCAUAUGACAAAAAUUGAGAACAAAGUUGACAAAUCAGUUGACUGGGAGGCUGUUUGGGCUUUUGCACUCGGCCCAGAACCUGAGCUUGUGUUGUCACUUAGGAUAUGUCUUGAUGAUAACCACAAUUCUGUAGUUCUGGCCUGUGCAAAAGUUGUUCAAUGUGUAUUGAGUUAUGAUGCAAAUGAGAACUAUUGUAAUAUCUCAGAGAAGAUAGCAACUUGUGACAUGGAUAUUUGCACGGCUCCAGUUUUUAGGAGCAGACCUGAUAUUAAUGAUGGAUUCCUUCAAGGGGGUUUCUGGAAGUACAGUGCCAAACCUUCUAAUAUUCUUCCUUUCAGUGAUGAUUCAAUGGAUAAUGAGACCGAAGGAAAACAUACUAUUCAAGACGAUAUAGUGGUUGCUGGGCAAGAUUUUACUGUAGGUCUAGUUCGCAUGGGAAUCCUUCCUAGGCUUCGUUAUCUUUUGGAGACAGAUCCUACAACAGCUUUAGAAGAAUGUAUUAUUUCCGUACUGAUUGCUAUAGCGAGGCAUUCACCUACAUGUGCUAAUGCUGUACUGAAAUGUGAAAGACUUGUUCAGACAAUUGCAAAUAGAUAUACUGCUGAAAAUUUUGAAAUUCGAUCUUCUAUGAUUAGAUCUGUAAGACUCUUGAAGGUUUUAGCUCGGUCGGACCGGAAAUCUUGUUUAGAGUUUAUAAAGAAAGGGUAUUUUCAGGCUAUGACUUGGAAUUUAUAUCAAAGCCCUUCCUCCAUUGACCACUGGCUAAGGUUAGGGAAGGAAAAAUGUAAACUCACAUCUGCUCUGAUUGUUGAACAAAUGCGUUUCUGGAGGGUCUGCAUUCAAUAUGGAUAUUGUGUGUCUUACUUCUCGGAAAUGUUCCCUGCCUUGUGUUUUUGGUUGAAUCCGCCUUCAUUUGAAAAACUUGUUGAAAACAAUGUUUUGGAUGAAUCUACUUCCAUCUCUAGGGAGGCUUACCUUGUUCUGGAGUCUUUGGCUGGAAAACUUCCAAACCUAUUUUCAAAGCAGUGCCUAAACAAUCAACUUCCAGAGUCUGCUGGUGACACAGAGGUAUGGUCUUGGAAUUAUGUUGGUCCAAUGGUUGACUUAGCCAUAAAGUGGAUAGCAAGCAGAAAUGAUCCAGAAGUAUCUAAGUUCUUUGAGGGACAGGAAGAAGGAAGAUAUGACUUUACUUUCCGAGAUCUUUCUGCAACUCCUUUGUUGUGGGUGUAUGCUGCUGUGACUCACAUGCUUUUCAGAGUGCUUGAAAGGAUGACAUGGGGGGAUACUAUUGAAACUGAAGGGCAUGUGCCAUGGCUUCCAGAAUUUGUACCUAAGAUUGGACUUGAGGUAAUCAAAUAUUGGUUUUUGGGCUUUUCUGCAUCUUUUGGGGCAAAAUGUGGAAGAGAUUCUAAAGGCGAAUCUUUUAUGAAGGAACUAGUUUAUUUGAGGCAGAAGGAUGAUAUUGAAAUGUCUUUAGCUUCCACCUGUUGUCUAAAUGGAAUGGUUAAGAUUAUUACUGCAAUUGAUAAUCUGAUACAGUCUGCCAAGGCUAGCAUCUGUAGUCUCCCAUGCCAAGAACAAAGUCUCUCAAAAGAAGGAAAAGUGCUUGAGGAUGGCAUCGUUAAAGGGUGUUGGGUUGAAUUAAGGUAUAUGCUUGAUGUUUUCAUGUUUUCAGUUUCUUCAGGGUGGCACCGCAUACAGUCCAUUGAGUCAUUUGGCAGAGGAGGACUGGUUCCAGGGGCAGGAAUUGGAUGGGGUGCCUCAGGUGGAGGAUUUUGGUCAGCAACAGUUUUAUUGGCACAAGCAGAUGCAAGAUUUCUUGUCUAUUUGCUGGAAAUUUUUGAAAAUGCAUCUAAAGGUGUCGUGACUGAAGAAACAACCUUCACCAUCCAAAGGGUUAAUGCUGGCUUGGGAUUGUGUUUAACUGCAGGACCUAGAGAUAAGGUUGUUGUAGAAAAGACAUUGGAUUUCUUGUUCCAUGUCUCUGUUUUGAAGCACCUUGAUCUCUGCAUACAGAGUUUACUCUUGAAUAGGAGGGGUAAAACCUUUGGCUGGCAACAUGAAGAAGAGGAUUACAUGCACUUAAGCAGAAUGUUAUCAUCUCAUUUCAGGAGCAGAUGGUUGUCUGUAAAGGUGAAGUCUAAAUCUGUGGAUGGCAGUAGUUCCUCUGGCAUUAAGACCUCUCCAAAGGUUGGUGCUUGUUUGGAAACCAUAUAUGAGGAUUCAGACACGUCUUCCGUGACAACUCCGUGCUGUAAUUCUAUAAUGAUAGAAUGGGCUCACCAGAAACUACCACUUCCAGUUCACUUUUACCUUAGUCCAAUCUCAACAAUUUUCCAUAGCAAGCGGGCUGGUACUAAAAUUGUUGAUGAUGUACUACAUGAUCCCUCUAAUCUGCUUGAAGUCGCCAAAUGUGGACUUUUCUUUGUUUUAGGUGUUGAAGCAAUGUCCAUUUUUCAUGGCACUGACAUUCCUUCUCCUGUUCAACAAGUAUCAUUGACAUGGAAGUUACAUUCCUUAUCUGUCAAUUUCCUUGUUGGAAUGGAAAUACUUGAACAAGAUUGGAGCAGGGAUAUUUUUGAAGCUUUGCAGGAUCUUUAUGGUGAGCUUCUUGAUAAUGCAAGGUUAAACCAAAGUAAAGAAGUUAUUUCAGAUGAUAAAAAGCAUCUUGAGUUUCUGAGGUUCCAAACUGAGAUUCAUGAAAGUUACUCAACUUUUCUUGAAGAACUUGUGGAGCAGUUUUCUGCUGUUUCUUAUGGUGAUGUUAUUUUUGGCCGGCAAGUUUCACUUUAUCUACACCGUUGUGUUGAAACUUCCAUUCGACUUGCUGCCUGGAAUACACUGUCCAAUUCUCGUGUUCUUGAGCUUUUGCCACCUUUAGAAAAAUGCUUCUCUGGUGCUGAAGGAUACCUUGAACCCGCUGAGGAUAAUGAAGCAAUUUUGGAGGCUUAUACGAAUUUGUGGGUUUCUGAUGCCCUUGACAGGGCUGCAAUUCGAGGAUCAGUUGCAUAUACUCUUGUUGUCCAUCAUCUUUCCUCCUUUAUAUUUCAUGCCUGUCCCACGGAUAAGUUAUUGCUGCGAAACAGACUUGCUAGGUCUCUGUUGCGAGAUUAUGCUGGGAAACAGCAACAUGAGGGUAUGUUACUGAACCUCAUUCACCAUAACAAGCCACCACCAUCUGUCAUGGGAGAGGAGCUGAAUGGUAUACUUUCUGAAAAGAGUUGGUUAGAGUCCAGAUUAAAAGUAUUGGUUGAGGCUUGUGAGGGAAAUUCCUCUAUUUUGACAGUAGUAGAUAAGUUAAAGGCUGUUGUAAAAAACAGUUCAUAGUGAGAAUGGAGUCUGCUGGUUUUUUUAUCAAGAUUCUGGGAACCAAGUCCUAAGGCAUGCAAUGUACAUAAUGAAAGGAUACAGUCUUGUAUGGUAGAUGCUAAUACGACCAGGAGCAUUUAGGUCCUACGAAGAGACAAUACAUUACACAUGUGCUAACAAAGGAAGAAGGAUCAAUACAUGUGAAUUAGCUUAGGAGCAUUCAAUAACAAUUAAUCAUCUAGCUCUUGAUUGAGUGUUAUGUAUAAGCAUAUACGUAUUAACCCUUUUCCCUUUCUCAUCAUGUGUGUACUGACCCUUCUUAGAAUCAAAACUGCGCAGAAUUACAAACAUUUUACGAACCAUUGUUCUUGAACGCACACCAAAUUUUACUCACAAGCACAUCUAACGGAACAUCCACUUUCAUUUUUGUACUUAA
Molecule: RNA transcript, 5279 nt
Organism: Glycine soja
Lineage: Eukaryota; Viridiplantae; Streptophyta; Magnoliopsida; Fabales; Fabaceae
Gene name: transcriptional elongation regulator MINIYO-like
Exons: 12
Source: RefSeq, a predicted model, not a curated record